RNAcentral lists this ribosomal RNA (429 nucleotides) under Actinomycetes bacterium. RNAcentral's name for it is "Actinobacteria bacterium partial 16S ribosomal RNA". It matches the Rfam family "Bacterial small subunit ribosomal RNA", at positions 355 to 776 of the family's 1533-position model. The record is from RNAcentral. Lineage: Bacteria; Bacillati; Actinomycetota; Actinomycetes.
UAGGGAAUCUUCCGCAAUGGGCGAAAGCUUGACGGAGCAACGCCGCGUGAGUGAUGAAGGUCUUCGGAUCGUAAAACUCUGUUAUUAGGGAAGAACAAAUGUGUAAGUAACUAUGCACGUCUUGACGGUACCUAAUCAGAAAGCCACGGCUAACUACGUGCCAGCAGCCGCGGUAAUACGUAGGGGGCAAGCGUUAUCCGGAAUUAUUGGGCGUAAAGCGCGCGUAGGCGGUUUUUUAAGUCUGAUGUGAAAGCCCACGGCUCAACCGUGGAAGGUCAUUGGAAACUGGAAAACUUGAGUGCAGAAGAGGAAAGUGGAAUUCCAUGUGUAGCGGUGAAAUGCGCAGAGAUAUGGAGGAACACCAGUGGCGAAGGCGACUUUCUGGUCUGUAACUGACGCUGAUGUGCGAAAGCGUGGGGAUCAAACAGG